CGUGCUUAACACAUGCAAGUCGAACGAUGAACUCCGCUUGCGGGGGGAUUAGUGGCGAACGGGUGAGUAACACGUGAGUAACCUGCCCUUAACUCUGGGAUAAGCCUUGGAAACGGGGUCUAAUACUGGAUAUUGACUUUUCACCGCAUGGUGGUUGGUUGAAAGAUUUAUUGGUUUUGGAUGGACUCGCGGCCUAUCAGCUUGUUGGUGAGGUAAUGGCUCACCAAGGCGACGACGGGUAGCCGGCCUGAGAGGGUGACCGGCCACACUGGGACUGAGACACGGCCCAGACUCCUACGGGAGGCAGCAGUGGGGAAUAUUGCACAAUGGGCGCAAGCCUGAUGCAGCGACGCCGCGUGAGGGAUGACGGCCUUCGGGUUGUAAACCUCUUUCAGUAGGGAACAAGGCCAGUGUUUAGCUGGUUGAGGGUACUUGCAGAAGAAGCGCCGGCUAACUACGUGCCAGCAGCCGCGGUAAUACGUAGGGCGCAAGCGUUAUCCGGAAUUAUUGGGCGUAAAGAGCUCGUAGGCGGUUUGUCGCGUCUGCCGUGAAAGUCCGGGGCUCAACUCCGGAUCUGCGGUGGGUACGGGCAGACUAGAGUGAUGUAGGGGAGACUGGAAUUCCUGGUGUAGCGGUGAAAUGCGCAGAUAUCAGGAGGAACACCGAUGGCGAAGGCAGGUCUCUGGGCAUUAACUGACGCUGAGGAGCGAAAGCAUGGGGAGCGAACAGGAUUAGAUACCCUGGUAGUCCAUGCCGUAAACGUUGGGCACUAGGUGUG
Molecule: ribosomal RNA, 778 nt
Filed under: Arthrobacter psychrolactophilus
Lineage: Bacteria; Bacillati; Actinomycetota; Actinomycetes; Micrococcales; Micrococcaceae
Description: bacterial SSU rRNA
Rfam family: Bacterial small subunit ribosomal RNA
Source: RNAcentral